GAUGAAGAACGUAGCGAAAUGCGAUAAGUAAUGUGAAUUGCAGAAUUCAGUGUAUCAUCGAAUCUUUGAACGCACAUUGCGCCCAUUAGUAUUCUAGUGGGCAUGCCUGUUCGAGCGUCAUUAAGUCCACUUAAGCCCUGCUUAGUGUUGGGAGACUGCUCCAGCGGUGCUACCCUGUAGCUACCCUGCAGCUCCUCAAAGACAGCGGCGGAGUUGUGGUAUCCUCUGAGCUUAGUAACUUGUUCUAGCUUUCGAGUACACCACUUCCCCUGCCGUAAAACCCUUAAUUUUUAAUGGUUGACCUCGGAUCAGGUAGGAAUACCCGCUGAACUUAAGCAUAUCAAUAAGCGGAGGA
This 355-nucleotide unclassified non-coding RNA is filed under the name soil metagenome. RNAcentral's name for it is "partial contains 5.8S ribosomal RNA, internal transcribed spacer 2, and large subunit ribosomal RNA". The stretch from base 1 to 120 matches the Rfam family "5.8S ribosomal RNA", at positions 35 to 154 of the family's 154-position model. The record is from RNAcentral.